RNAcentral lists this ribosomal RNA (253 nucleotides) under uncultured Armatimonadota bacterium. Its description in RNAcentral is "uncultured Armatimonadetes bacterium partial 16S ribosomal RNA". It matches the Rfam family "Bacterial small subunit ribosomal RNA", at positions 524 to 776 of the family's 1533-position model. Lineage: Bacteria; Bacillati; Armatimonadota. The record is from RNAcentral.
UACGUAGGGGGCGAGCGUUGUCCGAAUUUACUGGGCGUAAAGCGCGCGUAGGCGGGCUUUUAAGUUGGGGGUGAAAUGCCGGAGCUCAACUCCGGAACUGCCUCCAAAACUGGGAGCCUUGAGGUUUGGAGAGGGAAGUGGAAUUCCUGGUGUAGCGGUGAAAUGCGUAGAUAUCAGGAGGAACACCUGUGGCGAAGGCGGCUUCCUGGCCAUAUCCUGACGCUGAGGCGCGAAAGCUAGGGGAGCGAACGGG